GAUGAACGCUGGCGGCGUGCUUAACACAUGCAAGUCGAACGAUGAAGCCCAGCUUGCUGGGUGGAUUAGUGGCGAACGGGUGAGUAACACGUGAGUAACCUGCCCUUAACUCUGGGAUAAGCCUGGGAAACUGGGUCUAAUACCGGAUAGGAGCGUCCACCGCAUGGUGGGUGUUGGAAAGAUUUAUCGGUUUUGGAUGGACUCGCGGCCUAUCAGCUUGUUGGUGAGUUAAUGGCUCACCAAGGCGACGACGGGUAGCCGGCCUGAGAGGGGGACCGGCCACACUGGGACUGAGACACGGCCCAGACUCCUACGGGAGGCAGCAGUGGGGAAUAUUGCACAAUGGGCGAAAGCCUGAUGCAGCGACGCCGCGUGAGGGAUGACGGCCUUCGGGUUGUAAACCUCUUUCAGUAGGGAAGAAGCGAAAGUGACGGUACCUGCAGAAGAAGCACCGGCUAACUACGUG
Molecule: ribosomal RNA, 466 nt
Filed under: uncultured bacterium
Lineage: Bacteria
Description: partial 16S ribosomal RNA
Rfam family: Bacterial small subunit ribosomal RNA
Source: RNAcentral